CCUACGGGUGGCAGCAGUCGAGAAUCAUUCACAAUGGGGGAAACCCUGAUGGUGCGACGCCGCGUGGGGGAAUGAAGGUCUUCGGAUUGUAAACCCCUGUCAUGUGGGAGCAAAUAAAAAAGAUAGUACCACAAGAGGAAGCGACAGCUAACUCUGUGCCAGCAGCCGCGGUAAUACCGAGGGCGCCAGCGUUGUUCGGAAUCACUGGGCGUAAAGCGUGCGUAGGCGGUUUCGUAAGUCGUGUGUGAAAGUCGCGGGCUCAACCCGCGGACGGCACAUGAUCCUGCGAGACUAGAGUAAAGGAGAGGGAACCGGAAUUCUCGGUGUAGCAGUGAAAUGCGUAGAUAUCGAGAGGAACACUCGUGGCGAAGGCGAGUUCCUGGACAUUAACUGACGCUGAGGCGCGAAGGCCAGGGGAGCGAAAGGGAUUAGAUACCCUAGUAGUC
This 446-nucleotide ribosomal RNA is filed under the name uncultured bacterium. RNAcentral's name for it is "partial 16S ribosomal RNA". It matches the Rfam family "Bacterial small subunit ribosomal RNA", at positions 338 to 795 of the family's 1533-position model. The record is from RNAcentral.